This 23-nucleotide ribosomal RNA is filed under the name Bulimina elongata. RNAcentral describes it as "partial 18S ribosomal RNA". Lineage: Eukaryota; Foraminifera; Rotaliida; Buliminidae. The record is from RNAcentral.
GUAGGUGAACUGCAGAAGGAUCA